GACGAACGCUGGCGGCGUGCUUAACACAUGCAAGUCGAACGGAAAGGCCCUGCUUUUGUGGGGUGCUCGAGUGGCGAACGGGUGAGUAACACGUGAGUAACCUGCCCUUGACUUUGGGAUAACCUCAGGAAACUGGGGCUAAUACCGGAUAGGAGCUCCUGCUGCAUGGUGGGGGUUGGAAAGUUUCGGCGGUUGGGGAUGGACUCGCGGCUUAUCAGCUUGUUGGUGGGGUAGUGGCUUACCAAGGCUUUGACGGGUAGCCGGCCUGAGAGGGUGACCGGCCACAUUGGGACUGAGAUACGGCCCAGACUCCUACGGGAGGCAGCAGUGGGGAAUAUUGCACAAUGGGCGGAAGCCUGAUGCAGCAACGCCGCGUGCGGGAUGACGGCCUUCGGGUUGUAAACCGCUUUCGCCUGUGACGAAGCGUGAGUGACGGUAAUGGGUAAAGAAGCACCGGCUAACUACGUGCCAGCAGCCGCGGUGAUACGUAGGGUGCGAGCGUUGUCCGGAUUUAUUGGGCGUAAAGGGCUCGUAGGUGGUUGAUCGCGUCGGAAGUGUAAUCUUGGGGCUUAACCCUGAGCGUGCUUUCGAUACGGGUUGACUUGAGGAAGGUAGGGGAGAAUGGAAUUCCUGGUGGAGCGGUGGAAUGCGCAGAUAUCAGGAGGAACACCAGUGGCGAAGGCGGUUCUCUGGGCCUUUCCUGACGCUGAGGAGCGAAAGCGUGGGGAGCGAACAGGCUUAGAUACCCUGGUAGUCCACGCUGUAAACGGUGGGUACUAGGUGUGGGGUCCAUUCCACGGGUUCCGUGCCGUAGCUAACGCUUUAAGUACCCCGCCUGGGGAGUACGGCCGCAAGGCUAAAACUCAAAGGAGUUGACGGGGCCCCGCACAAGCGGCGGAGCAUGCGGAUUAAUUCGAUGCAACGCGUAGAACCUUACCUGGGUUUGACAUGGAUCGGGAGUGCUCAGAGAUGGGUGUGCCUCUUUUGGGGUCGGUUCACAGGUGGUGCAUGGCUGUCGUCAGCUCGUGUCGUGAGAUGUUGGGUUAAGUCCCGCAACGAGCGCAACCCUUGUUCACUGUUGCCAGCACGUUAUGGUGGGGACUCAGUGGAGACCGCCGGGGUCAACUCGGAGGAAGGUGGGGAUGACGUCAAGUCAUCAUGCCCCUUAUGUCCAGGGCUUCACGCAUGCUACAAUGGCUGGUACAGAGAGUGGCGAGCCUGUGAGGGUGAGCGAAUCUCGGAAAGCCGGUCUCAGUUCGGAUUGGGGUCUGCAACUCGACCUCAUGAAGUCGGAGUCGCUAGUAAUCGCAGAUCAGCAACGCUGCGGUGAAUACGUUCCCGGGGCU
This 1346-nucleotide ribosomal RNA is filed under the name uncultured bacterium. Its description in RNAcentral is "partial 16S ribosomal RNA". It matches the Rfam family "Bacterial small subunit ribosomal RNA", at positions 28 to 1381 of the family's 1533-position model. The record is from RNAcentral.